GCCUGCCUGGCUCAGUCAGUAGAGCAUGUGACUUGUGAUCGCAAGAUUGUGAGUUCAAGCCCCACGUUGGGUG
This 73-nucleotide transfer RNA is filed under the name Canis lupus dingo (dingo). It matches the Rfam family "tRNA". Rfam says of the family: Transfer RNA (tRNA) molecules are approximately 80 nucleotides in length. Their secondary structure includes four short double-helical elements and three loops (D, anti-codon, and T loops). Further hydrogen bonds mediate the characteristic L-shaped molecular structure. tRNAs have two regions of fundamental functional importance: the anti-codon, which is responsible for specific mRNA codon recognition, and the 3' end, to which the tRNAs corresponding amino acid is attached (by aminoacyl-tRNA synthetases). tRNAs cope with the degeneracy of the genetic code in two manners: having more than one tRNA (with a specific anti-codon) for a particular amino acid; and 'wobble' base-pairing, i.e. permitting non-standard base-pairing at the 3rd anti-codon position. The record is from Rfam by way of RNAcentral. Lineage: Eukaryota; Metazoa; Chordata; Mammalia; Carnivora; Canidae.